AAGACUAUGUUUUCAGGGAUCAUUUCUAUAGUUCAUUAAGAGAGAAGUUUCUCUGAAUGUGUAGAGCACCUGAAACCCCGAGGAAGAAACUUAGUGUUCUCUCCUGAGUGUGAAGCUGGUUCUUGGCGUUGGUUCUGCAACUGCCAUUUGCCAUUGAUGAUCAUUCUUCUCUUCCUCUGGGAGAGCAAGAGGGAGAGGCCACUGCCUGAG
This is a small nucleolar RNA of Hippopotamus amphibius kiboko, 210 nucleotides long. RefSeq annotates it as small nucleolar RNA U3. NCBI's taxonomy places the organism in Eukaryota, Metazoa, Chordata, Mammalia, Artiodactyla, Hippopotamidae. The record is from RefSeq and is a predicted model, not a curated record. The transcript has a single exon.